UGGGAUGUGGCUCAGUUGGUAGAGUGCUUGCCUUACAUGCACAAGGCCUUGGGUUUGAUCUCCAGCACCACAC
Molecule: transfer RNA, 73 nt
Filed under: Ictidomys tridecemlineatus (thirteen-lined ground squirrel)
Lineage: Eukaryota; Metazoa; Chordata; Mammalia; Rodentia; Sciuridae
Description: Spermophilus tridecemlineatus (thirteen-lined ground squirrel) tRNA
Rfam family: tRNA
About the family: Transfer RNA (tRNA) molecules are approximately 80 nucleotides in length.
Source: Rfam by way of RNAcentral